UACGGGGGGGGCAAGCGUUGUUCGGAAUUACUGGGCGUAAAGGGCCAGUAGGCGGCCAACUAAGUCCGACGUGAAAUCCCAAGGCUUAACCCUGGAAGUGCAUCCGAUACUGUGUGGCUUGAGUCCCGGAGAGGGUCGUGGAAUUCCCAGUGUAGAGGUGAAAUUCGUAGAUAUUGGGAGGAACACCAAUAGCGAAGGCAGCUCGCUGGGACGUUACUGACACUGAGGCGCGAAAGCGUGGGGAGCGAACAGG
Molecule: ribosomal RNA, 253 nt
Filed under: uncultured bacterium
Lineage: Bacteria
Description: partial 16S ribosomal RNA
Rfam family: Bacterial small subunit ribosomal RNA
Source: RNAcentral